UCGUACACAAAAUUGUGGCCUUUGUAUGAUUGUCACACAAACCAGAUAAAAUAGGAUAAGGGUUGGAGUUUGUUGCAAUUCAAACUCUUUUGAAUUUUAAUUCGACUCCAACAUUUUUUCACUCUUAUCUAACUUAAAGAGAGACCUACCAAAAAAAAUUAAGCACAAAAAUCAAUUAGAAAGACCUCUUUUUCUCAUACACAAUAGACCCCUUCAAAAGCAGC
Molecule: long non-coding RNA, 224 nt
Filed under: Elaeis guineensis (African oil palm)
Lineage: Eukaryota; Viridiplantae; Streptophyta; Magnoliopsida; Arecales; Arecaceae
Description: long non-coding RNA (EGUI_LNC079197)
Source: RNAcentral